This 921-nucleotide ribosomal RNA is filed under the name uncultured delta proteobacterium. RNAcentral describes it as "bacterial SSU rRNA". It matches the Rfam family "Bacterial small subunit ribosomal RNA", at positions 58 to 993 of the family's 1533-position model. The record is from RNAcentral. Lineage: Bacteria; Deltaproteobacteria.
CAAGUCGAACGAGGAAGUACCUUCGGGUAUUGUACUAGUGGCGUACGGGUGAGUAACGCGUGGAUAAUCUUCCUCUAGGUGGGGAAUAACCAGUCGAAAGACUGGCUAAUACCGCAUAAGUCCACAAUGCCUUCGGGUGAAGGGGUUAAAGGCGAAAGUCGCCUGGAGAUGAGUGUGCGCCCGAUUAGCUAGUUGGUGAGGUAAAAGCUCACCAAGGCUACGAUCGGUAGCUGGUCUGAGAGGACGGCCAGCCACACUGGGACUGAGACACGGCCCAGACUCCUACGGGAGGCAGCAGUAGGGAAUAUUGCACAAUGGAGGAAACUCUGAUGCAGCGACGCCGCGUGAGUGACGAAGGCCUUCGGGUUGUAAAGCUCUGUUCUCAGGGAAAAAGAAAGUGAUUGUACCUGAGGAGAAAGGACCGGCUAACUUCGUGCCAGCAGCCGCGGUAAGACGAGGGGUCCAAGCGUUGUUCGGAAUCAUUGGGCGUAAAGCGGGUGUAGGCGGCUCUAUAAGUCAGGAGUGAAAGCCCCGAGCUUAACUCGGGAAGUGCUUUUGAUACUGCAGAGCUUGAAUGUGGGAGAGGGUAGUGGAAUUCCAGGUGUAGUGGUGAAAUACGUAGAUGUCUGGAGGAACACCGGUGGCGAAGGCGGCUACCUGGCCCAACAUUGACGCUGAGACCCGAAAGCGUGGGGAUCAAACAGGAUUAGAUACCCUGGUAGUCCACGCCAUAAACGAUGGACACUUGGUGUUGGAGGUAUUGACCCCUUCAGUGCCGAAGCUAACGCGUUAAGUGUCCCGCCUGGGGAGUACGGCCGCAGGGUUAAACUCAAAGAAAUUGACGGGGGCCCGCACAAGCGGUGGAGCAUGUGGUUUAAUUCGAUGCACCGCGAAAACCUUACCCGGGUUUGACAUGAUUUG